ACAUACGACCACAGCCACCAGACAAAUCAGGAUCCCGUCUGAUCUCCUAGGAUAACCUGGUGAGCGCUGGAUUAGUAGUUGGGUCGGUGACGACCAGCGAAUACCCGGUGUUGUAUGUA
Molecule: ribosomal RNA, 119 nt
Organism: Hirsutella minnesotensis 3608
Lineage: Eukaryota; Fungi; Ascomycota; Sordariomycetes; Hypocreales; Ophiocordycipitaceae
Source: Rfam